UGGGGAAUUUUGCUCAAUGGGGGAAACCCUGAAGCAGCGAUGCCGCGUGAGGGACGAAGGUCUUCGGAUUGUAAACCUCCUUUACAGAAGAAAAAUGGCGUGGUGAAUAACCACGUCUGAUGGUACUCUGUGAAUAAGCCACGGCUAACUUCGUGCCAGCAGCCGCGGUAAGACGAAGGUGGCGAGCGUUACUCGGAAUUACUAGGCGUAAAGCGUGGGCAGGCGGUUCAGUAAGUCUGUUGUGGAAGCUCCCGGCUCAACCGGGAGAGGCCAAUGGAAACUGCUGAGCUUGAAUUGAGGAGGGGUCACUGGAAUUCCCGGUGUAGCGGUGAAAUGCGUAGAUAUCGGGAGGAACAUCCAUGGCGAAAGCAGGUGACUGGACUCAUAUUGACGCUCAUCCACGAAAGCUGGGGGAUCAAACAGG
Molecule: ribosomal RNA, 424 nt
Filed under: uncultured bacterium
Lineage: Bacteria
Description: bacterial SSU rRNA
Rfam family: Bacterial small subunit ribosomal RNA
Source: RNAcentral